Hibiscus syriacus is the source of this 572-nucleotide long non-coding RNA. RefSeq lists it as uncharacterized. NCBI's taxonomy places the organism in Eukaryota, Viridiplantae, Streptophyta, Magnoliopsida, Malvales, Malvaceae. The record is from RefSeq and is a predicted model, not a curated record. The transcript has 4 exons.
GAGAAAAGGAAAGUAAUUUCAUCUCCAUUCCUUUUCCAUCAAUUGUUUUCCGCUUAUUCCAUCUAUCUUCCUCAUAAAGGUGAUUAAGGGUGAAGGCAUACGAAUUAAGAGAAAGAAAUUAGGGGAUCAUCUCAAUCAAAGGGCAAGGAGAAAGCUUGAAGGUGAGGAAGGAGGAGGAGCUUCGAAUGAUUAGAGUGACUCGCAAGGGAGCACCUAAUCGUGAUUAUUCUUGGUGACUCGUACGAAAGCCCCGAAGGAUUAUAGUGACUAACACGGGAGCACCUAAUCAUAAUUUUUUCGGGUGACUUGCACGGGAGCACCUAAUCGUAAUUAUUUCGGUUGACUCGCACUGGAGCUCCGAAGGAUUAGAGUGACUCACAAGGGAGCAUAUUAUUGUAUUUGCUACCAGCAAACUCGUACGGGAGCCCUGAAGUGAUCCAAGUGCCUUACAUGGGGAUUGUAGAGGUAGAUUGUCACCAUCAUCGUGCAAUCCCCAAGAAGACCACGUGAAUUCUACUUUGUGAUUUUUUUUCUUCAUAUGAAAUAAUCGUACUAAAAGAAAAUUUAUUGGG